GAUGAACGCUGGCGGCGUGCUUAACACAUGCAAGUCGAACGAUGAAGCCCAGCUUGCUGGGUGGAUUAGUGGCGAACGGGUGAGUAACACGUGAGUAACCUGCCCUUGACUCUGGGAUAAGCCUGGGAAACUGGGUCUAAUACCGGAUAGGAACGUCCACCGCAUGGUGGUUGUUGGAAAGAUUUAUCGGUCAUGGAUGGACUCGCGGCCUAUCAGCUUGUUGGUGAGGUAAUGGCUCACCAAGGCGACG
Molecule: ribosomal RNA, 250 nt
Filed under: uncultured bacterium
Lineage: Bacteria
Description: partial 16S ribosomal RNA
Rfam family: Bacterial small subunit ribosomal RNA
Source: RNAcentral